ACGGAGGGUGCAAGCGUUAAUCGGAAUCACUGGGCGUAAAGCGCACGUAGGCGGCCCGGUAAGUCAGGGGUGAAAUCCCACAGCCCAACUGUGGAACUGCCCUUGAUACUGCCGGGCUUGAGUACCGGAGAGGGUGGCGGAAUUCCAGGUGUAGGAGUGAAAUCCGUAGAUAUCUGGAGGAACACCGGUGGCGAAGGCGGCCACCUGGACGGUAACUGACGCUGAGGUGCGAAAGCGUGGGUAGCAAACAG
This 251-nucleotide ribosomal RNA is filed under the name uncultured bacterium. RNAcentral's name for it is "partial 16S ribosomal RNA". It matches the Rfam family "Bacterial small subunit ribosomal RNA", at positions 525 to 775 of the family's 1533-position model. The record is from RNAcentral.